RNAcentral lists this transfer RNA (76 nucleotides) under Neisseria sp. RNAcentral describes it as "tRNA-Asn". It matches the Rfam family "tRNA". From Rfam's summary of the family: Transfer RNA (tRNA) molecules are approximately 80 nucleotides in length. Their secondary structure includes four short double-helical elements and three loops (D, anti-codon, and T loops). RNAcentral also lists the same sequence under 6 other names. Lineage: Bacteria; Pseudomonadati; Pseudomonadota; Betaproteobacteria; Neisseriales; Neisseriaceae. The record is from RNAcentral.
UCCCUGAUAGCUCAGUUGGUAGAGCGACGGACUGUUAAUCCGCAGGUCCCAGGUUCGAGUCCUGGUCGGGGAGCCA